CCGGUGGCGAAAGGCGGCCCCCUGGACGAAGACUGACGCUCAGGUGCGAAAGCGUGGGAGCAAACAGGAUUAGGAUACCCUGGUAGUCCACGCCGUAAACGAUGUCGACUUGGAGGUUGUGCCCUUGAGGCGUGGCUUCCGGAGCUAACGCGUUAAGUCGACCGCCUGGGGAGUACGGCCGCAAGGUUAAAACUCAAAUGAAUUGACGGGGCCCGCACAAGCGGUGGAGCAUGUGGUUUAAUUCGAUGCAACGCGAAGAACUUACCCCCUGGUCUUGACAUCCACAGAACUUUCCAGAGAUGGAUUGGUGCCUUCGGGAACUGUGAGACAGGUGCUGCAUGGCUGUCGUCAGCUCGUGUUGUGAAAUGUUGGGUUAAGUCCCGCAACGAGCGCAACCCUUAUCCUUUGUUGCCAGCGGUCCGGCCGGGAACUCAAAGGAGACUGCCAGUGAUAAACUGGAGGAAGGUGGGGAUGACGUCAAGUCAUCAUGGCCCUUACGACCAGGGCUACACACGUGCUACAAUGGCGCAUACAAAGAGAAGCGACCUCGCGAGAGCAAGCGGACCUCAUAAAGUGCGUCGUAGUCCGGAUUGGAGUCUGCAACUCGACUCCAUGAAGUCGGAAUCGCUAGUAAUCGUGGAUCAGAAUGCCACGGUGAAUACGUUCCCGGGCCUUGUACACACCGCCCGUCACACCAUGGGAGUGAGUUGCAAAAGAAGUAGGUAGCUUAACCUUCGGGAGGGCGCUUACCACUUUGUGAUUCAUGACUGGGGUGAAGUCGUAACAAGGUAACCGUAGGGGAACCUGCGGUUG
Molecule: ribosomal RNA, 813 nt
Filed under: Escherichia coli 8624
Lineage: Bacteria; Pseudomonadati; Pseudomonadota; Gammaproteobacteria; Enterobacterales; Enterobacteriaceae
Description: bacterial SSU rRNA
Rfam family: Bacterial small subunit ribosomal RNA
Source: RNAcentral